Molecule: ribosomal RNA, 536 nt
Filed under: uncultured Hydrogenophaga sp.
Lineage: Bacteria; Pseudomonadati; Pseudomonadota; Betaproteobacteria; Burkholderiales; Comamonadaceae
Description: partial 16S ribosomal RNA
Rfam family: Bacterial small subunit ribosomal RNA
Source: RNAcentral
UCUCCUACGGGAGGCAGCAGUGGGGNCUUUUUGGNNAAUGGGNCCAAGCNUGAUCCNNNNAUNCCGCGUGCNGGAAGAAGGCCUUCGGGUUGUAAACUGCUUUUGUCCGGAAGGAAAAGGNUCUGGUUAAUACCUGGGGCUCAUGACGGUACCGUAAGAAUAAGCACCGGCUAACUACGUGCCAGCAGCCGCGGUAAUACGUAGGGUGCAAGCGUUAAUCGGAAUUACUGGGCGUAAAGCGUGCGCAGGCGGUUUUGUAAGUCAGGGGUGAAAUCCCCGGGCUCAACCUGGGAAUUGCGUUUGUGACUGCAAGUCUGGAGUGCGGCAGAGGGGGAUGGAAUUCCGCGUGUAGCAGUGAAAUUCGUAGAUAUGCGGAGGAACACCGAUGGCGAAGGCAAUCCCCUGGGCCUGCACUGACGCUCAUGCACGAAAGCGUGGGGAGCAAACAGGAUUAGAUACCCUGGUAGUCCACGCCCUAAACGAUGUCAACNGCUNNCUGGCUCUCUUCUGACUCAGUAACGAAGCUAACGCGUGAA